GGUUAAGCGACUAAGCGUACACGGUGGAUGCCCUGGCAGUCAGAGGCGAUGAAGGACGUGCUAAUCUGCGAAAAGCGCCGGCGAGGUGAUAUGAACCUUUGACCCGGCGAUGUCCGAAUGGGGAAACCCAGUGUGAUUCGUCACACUAUCGUUAACUGAAUACAUAGGUUAACGAGGCGAACCGGGGGAACUGAAACAUCUAAGUACCCCGAGGAAAAGAAAUCAACCGAGAUUCCCCCAGUAGCGGCGAGCGAACGGGGAGCAGCCCAGAGUCUGAAUCAGCUUGUGUGUUAGUGGAAGCGUCUGGAAAGUCGCACGGUACAGGGUGACAGUCCCGUACACGAAAGCACACAGGCUGUGAACUCGAAGAGUAGGGCGGGACACGUGGUAUCCUGUCUGAAUAUGGGGGGACCAUC
This 416-nucleotide ribosomal RNA is filed under the name Enterobacter ludwigii. RNAcentral describes it as "partial 23S ribosomal RNA". It matches the Rfam family "Bacterial large subunit ribosomal RNA", at positions 1 to 457 of the family's 2925-position model. The record is from RNAcentral. Lineage: Bacteria; Pseudomonadati; Pseudomonadota; Gammaproteobacteria; Enterobacterales; Enterobacteriaceae.